GCCAGGCAUGGUGACGCAUGCCUGUAGUCCCAGCUACUUGGGAGGCUGAGGUGAGUGGAUCACUUGAGCCCAGGGGUUCUGGGAUGUAGUGCGCUAUGCUUAUCAGUUAUCUGUACUAAGUUGGGCAUCAAUAUGGUAACCUCCCCAGAGCGGGAGACCACCAGGUUGCCCAAGGAGGGGUAAACCAGCCCAGAUUGGAAACUGAGCAGGUCAAAAUUCCCAUGCUGAUCAGUAGUGGGACUGCACCUGUGAAUAGCCACUGCAUUCCAGCCUGGGCAACAUAGCGAGACCCUGUCUCAA
This is an unclassified non-coding RNA of Callithrix jacchus (white-tufted-ear marmoset), 300 nucleotides long. It matches the Rfam family "Metazoan signal recognition particle RNA". From Rfam's summary of the family: The signal recognition particle (SRP) is a universally conserved ribonucleoprotein. It is involved in the co-translational targeting of proteins to membranes. The eukaryotic SRP consists of a 300-nucleotide 7S RNA and six proteins: SRPs 72, 68, 54, 19, 14, and 9. NCBI's taxonomy places the organism in Eukaryota, Metazoa, Chordata, Mammalia, Primates, Cebidae. The record is from Ensembl.